RNAcentral lists this long non-coding RNA (930 nucleotides) under Sorghum bicolor (sorghum). RNAcentral describes it as "long non-coding RNA (SBIC_LNC000434)". Lineage: Eukaryota; Viridiplantae; Streptophyta; Magnoliopsida; Poales; Poaceae. The record is from RNAcentral.
AAGGUCCAUAAUAUUUAUUUUUUUAAAAAUAAAGUCAAUAGAAAAAGUCACCUAAGAGGAUAACUGAUGAAAAAAAAAUUCAAAUAAAGUAAUCGGACGGAAGACCAACAAAAAAUCCAAAUGAAGUGCACCCAAAGGAACGAAUGAAAGAAAAGUAAUAUUUAUUAGACGCAAACUGAAUCGGACAUGGAUCUUGAAAAGAGGAUCAGGGACAUAAUAUGGUUUGAAAAAGUUAUUUUAUGGCAAAAAGUUUUAUGAUAAAUUUAAAAGGUAUUGUCAAAUACUAGAUAGCCUCACGUAUCUUUGUGGUUGGCAUUUUGUUUUCUAAACUUGAUGUCCAGGGUUUGAAUCCUUAAUGUUGCAGUUUUUGUUACGUGGAAUUUUUGAAGUUUUUCGCAGUGUGAGGUGACUGGAGUGGAGAUUUUCGGACUGUAACUGGAGUGGGCCGCAAGCAAGUGUGCGAGUGGGCUGUGAACAGUUAGGCUGAAGAUUUUUGGACUGCGACUAGAGUCGGCCGCAAGUGAGUGGGCUGCGGCCAGACAAAAGAAAAGCAAAAUUUUAUUUCUUUAUUUUAUAUAUAUAUAUAUAUGGUAAAUUUUUUCUACUCCCUAAGAGUAGUUACUCCUAUGUGUGUAUCUCUAGAUUUACGACAUAUAUGGUCCAACGAAGUAUAUGGAGACAUAGUAUAUGAUCAUACUAAAUCAUCUAGGGUAAUAUAUAUAUCAAGUAUGCAAGUAUACAUGAAGUAUAUGGUUAUACUUAUUUUAUAUAGUACUGCAGUGAUAUUUUAGUAAUAUAUUAAAAAGUAUGCUCUCUGUUGAAAAAAAUUCACAUACGAAGAUUUGAAGUAUCUUAAAUUAAGUAUAUAAACAUACUCAAACUGAUAAAUAAGUAUGAACACAUACGUAACAUGAUUUAUUGAAGAUGGGA